Molecule: long non-coding RNA, 315 nt
Organism: Folsomia candida
Lineage: Eukaryota; Metazoa; Arthropoda; Collembola; Entomobryomorpha; Isotomidae
Exons: 3
Source: RefSeq, a predicted model, not a curated record
GUAGAAUAAUUUUGGGUGGAACGCUUUUCCUGCUCGGAAUCGGUGCAAUUUUAAAAGCCGUCCUGCCCGAGCUGGUGUAUCGCUUUUCAGAACAAACGAUCCAGCCGGGUCCCUCUGUGUCGCUGAAAUGCACCGCCGUCGGAAAUCCACCCCCGCAAUUCACAUGGACGCUGGACGGCUUCGCACUCCCAGAAAGUGAAAGAUUUCUGGUGGGCCAGUACGUCACGAUUCAUGAAUACUUCUCUCCAUAACUACAAUAAUUGUUCACCGCCUUGAGCACAAGUAUAUGACUCUACCAAAGUGGUAAUGAUAAGU